UUGCGUAGGCGUUGUGCACAGUGUUGGUUUUUGAACGGGACUGUGCAUCUCACCCGCGCAAAG
Molecule: microRNA precursor, 63 nt
Filed under: Patiria miniata (bat star)
Lineage: Eukaryota; Metazoa; Echinodermata; Asteroidea; Valvatida; Asterinidae
Description: Pmi-Mir-242_pre stem-loop
Rfam family: mir-242_2 microRNA precursor family
Source: RNAcentral